Molecule: long non-coding RNA, 635 nt
Organism: Aquila chrysaetos chrysaetos
Lineage: Eukaryota; Metazoa; Chordata; Aves; Accipitriformes; Accipitridae
Exons: 2
Source: RefSeq, a predicted model, not a curated record
CGCGGCCGGGACGCAAAGGUGGGGAGAAGGGAUUGCUCUCUGAUAACUCGGUUUGGGUUUGCCUCCUUUGGGGGGAAUUGAAGCAAAAGCGAGCCAAAGUUAAGACCAAAGGGUAGGGUAGGCUCUCGACUGUUCCCGAGCUUUGCUCUCCAGAAGAGCUCGGGGCUCCAUGGGCAGCUCUCUGUGGGAGGUAGAGCAGCCUCUGGGCUGCUCCGAUUUACACCCACCUGUCCCAAGCCUCCUUUGUGUGUCCAAGUCCCUUUGGGCUUGACUCUCUGUACGGGGAGAGAAAGACGGCAUAAAGGGAAAAUUCACCCCUGAGCAAAGGGCCAACAAGAGCCUUGUGCCUGAAAGACGGGUGGAUGUGGGGCUUGAGUUUUGUACCAGAUAUCACUCAGACUGGUGGGAAAGAGAAAAUUCAUGCAGACAGUGGAAAAAAAUAUUUGUGCAGCUUACGGAGAGACAUCCAGGGGGACUGAGCUGUUGCUGGAAGGAACCUCUGACUCCAGCUUGCCUCAUCCGUUUGGGAAGCGGCGUAAGUCUAUCCUAAGCCACCUGGCUUUGGGAAGGAGGUUGCCUUUCUCUGCACCUUCCCUCUAACUCUUAACAGCUUUUAAUAAAAUUCUGGUAACUUG